Non-coding RNA from Defluviimonas sp. 20V17, 121 nucleotides. NCBI's taxonomy places the organism in Bacteria, Pseudomonadati, Pseudomonadota, Alphaproteobacteria, Rhodobacterales, Paracoccaceae. The record is from Rfam.
GCCUCACGUCAGGGGAGUCCCGCCAAGGGGACUGAGAGGCUGACAGGGGCAAGCCCCGGUGAAGCGACCCUUUGAACCUGACCCAGUUGAUGCUGGCGUAGGAAGACCGAGGGGCACGCCG